This is a non-coding RNA of Pogona vitticeps (central bearded dragon), 401 nucleotides long. Lineage: Eukaryota; Metazoa; Chordata; Lepidosauria; Squamata; Agamidae. The record is from RefSeq and is a predicted model, not a curated record.
UUCAACGCCAACCAUUUGUUGCUAAGGUGCCAACGCAGCUGCUCCUGUAGUUUUAUCUUGAGGCACCCUCCGUUGCUCCCCACUGCCAUUUAGCUUGCUCAGCAAGCAACUUCCAUGGCAUUUCCUUUCCUGUAUUCAUGGUGGCAUGAUUCGAGUCUAGACUGUGUAGAUGAUGUCCCGGAAGAAGAUGUGCAGCUUGACAACAAUGUGGAGGAGGAGGAGGAUGUCUGCUGGUUUUUAGUACAAAUCUUACUUGGUUAUAUUUUGGUUGUUGGCCUUUUAAGGAUCCUCUAUCUCUUUAGGAAUAUGAUAAGGAAACACCGUGGACAUCUAUCUUGGAAUAGGCUGAAAUGUUCCAAAGACCCUGUUUCUGGCUUCAAGCUCUUUGGAGGGGAAGAUAA